UACGGAGGGUGCAAGCGUUAUCCGGAUUUACUGGGUUUAAAGGGUGCGUAGGUGGGUCUGUAAGUCAGUGGUGAAAUCUCCGGGCUUAACCCGGAAACUGCCAUUGAUACUAUAGAUCUUGAAUAUCCUGGAGGUGAGCGGAAUAUGUCAUGUAGCGGUGAAAUUCGUAGAUAUCGAGAGGAACACCGGUGGCGAAGGCGGCCAACUGGACGAAUACUGACGCUGAGACUCGAAAGCGUGGGGAGCAAACAGG
RNAcentral lists this ribosomal RNA (253 nucleotides) under uncultured bacterium. RNAcentral's name for it is "partial 16S ribosomal RNA". It matches the Rfam family "Bacterial small subunit ribosomal RNA", at positions 524 to 776 of the family's 1533-position model. The record is from RNAcentral.